RNAcentral lists this ribosomal RNA (513 nucleotides) under uncultured bacterium. RNAcentral describes it as "partial 16S ribosomal RNA". It matches the Rfam family "Bacterial small subunit ribosomal RNA", at positions 28 to 523 of the family's 1533-position model. The record is from RNAcentral.
GACGAACGCUGGCGGCGUGCCUAAUACAUGCAAGUAGAACGCUGACUACUUUAGCUUGCUAGAGUAGAAGGAGUUGCGAACGGGUGAGUAACGCGUAGGUAACCUGCCUACUAGCGGGGGAUAACUAUUGGAAACGAUAGCUAAUACCGCAUAACAGUGUUUAACACAUGUUAGAUGCUUGAAAGAUGCAAUUGCAUCACUAGUAGAUGGACCUGAGUUGUGUUAGCUAGUUGGUGGGGUAACGGCCCACCAAGGCGACGAUACAUAGCCGACCUGGGAGGGUGAUCGGCCACACUGGGACUGAGACACGGCCCAGACUCCUACGGGAGGCAGCAGUAGGGAAUCUUCGGCAAUGGGGGCAACCCUGACCGAGCAACGCCGCGUGAGUGAAGAAGGUUUUCGGAUCGUAAAGCUCUGUUGUAAGAGAAGAACGUGUGUGAGAGUGGAAAGUUCACACAGUGACGGUAACUUACCAGAAAGGGACGGCUAACUACGUGCCAGCCGCCGCAGUAA